GCGCCGGUAGUCUAGCCUGGGAGGAUACCGGCCUCCCAAGCCGGUGAACCCGGGUUCAAAUCCCGGCCGGCGCA
This 74-nucleotide transfer RNA is filed under the name Thermoprotei archaeon. Its description in RNAcentral is "tRNA-Gly". It matches the Rfam family "tRNA". Rfam says of the family: Transfer RNA (tRNA) molecules are approximately 80 nucleotides in length. Their secondary structure includes four short double-helical elements and three loops (D, anti-codon, and T loops). Further hydrogen bonds mediate the characteristic L-shaped molecular structure. tRNAs have two regions of fundamental functional importance: the anti-codon, which is responsible for specific mRNA codon recognition, and the 3' end, to which the tRNAs corresponding amino acid is attached (by aminoacyl-tRNA synthetases). tRNAs cope with the degeneracy of the genetic code in two manners: having more than one tRNA (with a specific anti-codon) for a particular amino acid; and 'wobble' base-pairing, i.e. permitting non-standard base-pairing at the 3rd anti-codon position. Lineage: Archaea; Thermoproteati; Thermoproteota; Thermoprotei. The record is from RNAcentral.